RNAcentral lists this ribosomal RNA (403 nucleotides) under bacterium. Its description in RNAcentral is "partial 16S ribosomal RNA". It matches the Rfam family "Bacterial small subunit ribosomal RNA", at positions 355 to 776 of the family's 1533-position model. The record is from RNAcentral.
UGGGGAAUAUUGCACAAUGGAGGGAACUCUGAUGCAGCGACGCCGCGUGAACGAAGAAGGCUUUCGAGUCGUAAAGUUCUUUUAUAUGGGAAGAUAAUGACGGUACCAUAAGAAGAAGCCCCGGCUAACUACGUGCCAGCAGCCGCGGUAAUACGUAGGGGGCUAGCGUUGUCCGGAAUCACUGGGCGUAAAGGGUUCGCAGGCGGAAAUGCAAGUCAGGUGUAAAAGGCAGUAGCUUAACUACUGUAAGCAUUUGAAACUGCAUAUCUUGAGAAGAGUAGAGGUAAGUGGAAUUUUUAGUGUAGCGGUGAAAUGCGUAGAUAUUAAAAAGAAUACCGGUGGCGAAGGUGACUUACUGGGCUCAUUCUGACGCUGAGGAACGAAAGCGUGGGUAGCAAACAGG